UCACACAUCGCAUUUAUUGAACAUUUACUAUGUUCCAGGCUCUGUGGCACUUCCUACACAUGAUGUCACUCACUCCUCCCCGUGUUUCUGUGCUGGCGAGCACCACAAUUAGCAGACCUGUUACAGAGGGUUGGAGAAAUUUGUCUGAAGUCACACAGCCAACAGAUGGUGGAAUCAAGACUCAAACCAGGUCUUCUGACUCUAGUAGCUAUGCUUGAUAAAUAGCUAUAACUUUUAAUAAAAGGGACAGUGGGGGACAUGUGAGUAUGGGGGUGUGGGUGUGAUGGGUUGAUGGCCGAAAGCUUUCUGGGACCCUGCUACUCAUGCUAGAUUUUCUGGUCCUGAUUAGCUGCUCCAUGGCUGCCAGGAGCUGUUAUUAUCACUCACUCCUAUGCCCUUGUCACUGGGCCUGUGGGGACCUGCCCUUCCUUCCUGCUCUUGGCCCUGUGAUGUUGACAGCUGUACUGGGAAAUCACAUGCUGGCUGCUGCCACAAUUACCAGACACAGACUGUAAGUGCCUCCCUGGACGUCCUGCCACCCUGUCUCAUGCCGGCCCCUACACAAGUGCUCAGGCCACGGCUUUGCUCCAUCUGUUUUACUUCUGUAUUCCAACUCACGAUGAGAAAAGCAACUUCCAGCACCUGCCACAGGAUCAGCAGAGAAUCACUACGAUGUUCCAUGUCCCUAUGACCGCAGGGCAACCUGGAGGAAGCGGUGGUCGUACAAGCACCAUGAGUCACAAAACCUGACAAGAUAGUCAGCAUCAAUUUGGUAUCUGAGGUACUAGCAUGUUCAGUUACUGAACACUCUUCCCGUUUCUCCCAACCCAAUCCUGUCUCCCUUAAUAUAGCAGCAAGUAUUUCUAGAGGGCUUACAACGUACUAACCACUGUUCUAAGCGGUUUUCAUGUACUAAGUCACUUAAUUAUCACAACUCUCUAUGUAGGCACUAUUUUUUGCAUACUCAUUUAUAGAUGAAAUGGCCUUGACACAAACAGGUUAGGUAAUUUACCCAGCUGGCACAUAGCUGGUGAGUGUGAGAGGAGAAAUUCAAGACCAAGCAGUUUAGAAUCAGAGCUCUCAUGCUCAGUUACUCGGCUCUACUGUCAUUUUUAUUUCAGAUCAUAAUCUUCCCUUUUCUGGACUAUUAAACAGCUUCCCAGCUGGUCUUCAUUCAAGUUGCCUCUUUUUACAUUACUAUUUUUAUUUUUAUUUUUUUGUCUUUUUAGGGCCACACCUGCAGCAUAUGGAGGUUUCCAGGCUAUGGGGUCUAAUCGGAGCUAUAGCUGCCGGCCUACUUCACAGUCAAAGCAAUGCCAGAUCCAAGCUGCAGCUGCGACCUACACCACAGCUCAUGGUAAUGCCAGAUCCUUAACCCGAGAGAGGCCAGGGAUUGAACCUGCAACCUCAUGGAGUUAGAUUCGUUUCUUCUGCGCCACAGCGGGAACUCCCUACAUUACUAUUUCUUAUUAUAACAAUAACAUGUGAAUACAUUCUUCAGGUAAAAUAUGAUAAUAGCAUGAAUUAGACAAAAACCCAGUUGGCCACCAGCCGCAAUCCCAAGUUUCUCCCCAGGGACUACUAUGCCUCCUUCUAGAUAUUUUUAUGCGUAUAUACAUACCUGUAAAAGUAUGCGGUAUUGUUUGAUAGAUUUUUUAACAAAUGUGGUUAAUAAUUUGCAAAAUUUUACGUUAUAGGAUUUCAAGAGCAUUCUAAAUCAAAAGUGUGACCAUUAAAAGAAGAAAUAUCGGGGAGUUCCCAUCAUGGCACAGAGAAAACGAAUCCGACUAGGAACUAUGAGAUUGCAGGUUCGAUCCCUGGCCUCGCUCAGUGGGUUAAGGAUCCAGCAUUGCCAUGAGCUGUGGUGUAGAUUGCAGACUCGGCUCGGAUCUGGCACUGCUUUGGCUGUGGCAUAGGCUGAUUAGACCCCUAGCCUGGGAACCUCCACAUGCUGCGGGGGCAGCCCUAAAAAGACAAAAAAAAAAAAAAAAAAGAAAGAAAAGAAAAUAGGAUGACUUCAUCACCCAUUGCCACUGUACAUUGAUUCAAACAGUUAUAGAUCUACAGCAGACACUCCUAACAAUUCACCUAAAUUAUAUCUACCUUGGCAGAGUCAAGGUUAAUAAACAUCACCAUAUGCCUGCUGUGUGACCCUGG
Molecule: long non-coding RNA, 2157 nt
Filed under: Sus scrofa (pig)
Lineage: Eukaryota; Metazoa; Chordata; Mammalia; Artiodactyla; Suidae
Description: lncRNA (ENSSSCG00025067253.1)
Source: RNAcentral